GUGAGUCAUCGAAUCUUUGAACGCACAUUGCGCCCCUUGGUAUUCCAUGGGGCAUGCCUGUUCGAGCGUCAUUUGUACCCUCAAGCUCUGCUUGGUGUUGGGUGUUUGUCCCGCCUUCGCGCGUGGACUCGCCUUAAAGUGAUUGGCAGCCGGAGUAAUUCUGGGGAACGCAGCACAACUGCAGCCUCCAUUUUACGCCGAGCGUCCAGUAAGCCUUUUUUCAACGUUUGACCUCGGAUCAGGUAGGGAUACCCGCUGAACUUAAGCAUAUCAAUAAGCGGAGGA
RNAcentral lists this unclassified non-coding RNA (285 nucleotides) under Pyrenochaeta sp. RNAcentral describes it as "partial contains 5.8S ribosomal RNA, internal transcribed spacer 2, and large subunit ribosomal RNA". The stretch from base 1 to 71 matches the Rfam family "5.8S ribosomal RNA", at positions 84 to 154 of the family's 154-position model. The record is from RNAcentral. Lineage: Eukaryota; Fungi; Ascomycota; Dothideomycetes; Pleosporales; Cucurbitariaceae.